This 147-nucleotide microRNA precursor is filed under the name Gossypium arboreum. RNAcentral describes it as "MIR7502 microRNA precursor family". It matches the Rfam family "MIR7502 microRNA precursor family". Lineage: Eukaryota; Viridiplantae; Streptophyta; Magnoliopsida; Malvales; Malvaceae. The record is from Rfam by way of RNAcentral.
UAUUAAAAAUUUUAUUCAUUUUUACCAUUAAAAAUUAAAGUGGUUGAUGGAAUAACCAAACACUGACACGUGGUGUACACCACGUGUAUCUUAUACUGAUAUAUAAUGACCAGUUUUUAAUCGUAGAAGUUUAUUAAAUUUUUAACA